AGACCCGAAACCCGGUGAUCUAGCCAUGGGCAGGUUGAAGGUUGGGUAACACUAACUGGAGGACCGAACCGACUAAUGUUGAAAAAUUAGCGGAUGACCUGUGGCUGGGGGUGAAAGGCCAAUCAAACCGGGAGAUAGCUGGUUCUCCCCGAAAGCUAUUUAGGUAGCGCCUCGUGAAUUCAUCUCCGGGGGUAGAGCACUGUUUCGGCUAGGGGGCCAUCCCGGCUUACCAACCCGAUGCAAACUGCGAAUACCGGAGAAUGUUAUCACGGGAGACACACGGCGGGUGCUAACGUCCGUCGUGAAGAGGGAAACAACCCAGACCGCCAGCUAAGGUCCCAAAGUCAUGGUUAAGUGGGAAACGAUGUGGGAAGGCCCAGACAGCCAGGAUGUUGGCUUAGAAGCAGCCAUCAUUUAAAGAAAGCGUAAUAGCUCACUGGUCGAGUCGGCCUGCGCGGAAGAUGUAACGGGGCUAAACCAUGCACCGAAGCUGCGGCAGCGAACGUAUCACUUAAAGCGAUUCAGCGGGUUACGAUUGACGGAGCGAAGCGACGUCAAAGCGUAUACAAAGUCGAGUCGGUUUAAGGAUACGUUCGUUGGGUAGGGGAGCGUUCUGUAAGCCCGUGAAGGUGGCCUGUGAGGGUUGCUGGAGGUAUCAGAAGUGCGAAUGCUGACAUAAGUAACGAUAAAGCGGGUGAAAAGCCCGCUCGCCGGAAGACCAAGGGUUCCUGUCCAACGUUAAUCGGGGCAGGGUGAGUCGACCCCUAAGGCGAGGCCGAAAGGCGUAGUCGAUGGGAAACGGGUUAAUAUUCCCGUACUUGGUGUUACUGCGAAGGGGGGACGGAGAAGGCUAUGUUGGCCGGGCGACGGUUGUCCCGGUUUAAGCGUGUAGGUGUGUGUUCCAGGUAAAUCCGGUUCACUUUAACACUGAGGCGUGACGACGAGGCACUACGGUGCUGAAGCAACAAAUGCCCUGCUUCCAGGAAAAGCCUCUAAGCAUCAGGUAACACGAAAUCGUACCCCAAACCGACACAGGUGGUCAGGUAGAGAAUACCAAGGCGCUUGAGAGAACUCGGGUGAAGGAACUAGGCAAAAUGGUGCCGUAACUUCGGGAGAAGGCACGCUGACACGUAGGUGAAGUGAUUUACUCAUGGAGCUGAAGUCAGUCGAAGAUACCAGCUGGCUGCAACUGUUUAUUAAAAACACAGCACUGUGCAAACACGAAAGUGGACGUAUACGGUGUGACGCCUGCCCGGUGCCGGAAGGUUAAUUGAUGGGGUCAGCGUAAGCGAAGCUCCUGAUCGAAGCCCCGGUAAACGGCGGCCGUAACUAUAACGGUCCUAAGGUAGCGAAAUUCCUUGUCGGGUAAGUUCCGACCUGCACGAAUGGCGUAAUGAUGGCCAGGCUGUCUCCACCCGAGACUCAGUGAAAUUGAACUCGCUGUGAAGAUGCAGUGUACCCGCGGCAAGACGGAAAGACCCCGUGAACCUUUACUAUAGCUUGACACUGAACAUUGAGCCUUGAUGUGUAGGAUAGGUGGGAGGCUUUGAAGUGUGGACGCCAGUCUGCAUGGAGCCGACCUUGAAAUACCACCCUUUAAUGUUUGAUGUUCUAACGUGGACCCGUAAUCCGGGUUGCGGACAGUGUCUGGUGGGUAGUUUGACUGGGGCGGUCUCCUCCUAAAGAGUAACGGAGGAGCACGAAGGUUGGCUAAUCCUGGUCGGACAUCAGGAGGUUAGUGCAAUGGCAUAAGCCAGCUUGACUGCGAGCGUGACGGCGCGAGCAGGUGCGAAAGCAGGUCAUAGUGAUCCGGUGGUUCUGAAUGGAAGGGCCAUCGCUCAACGGAUAAAAGGUACUCCGGGGAUAACAGGCUGAUACCGCCCAAGAGUUCAUAUCGACGGCGGUGUUUGGCACCUCGAUGUCGGCUCAUCACAUCCUGGGGCUGAAGUAGGUCCCAAGGGUAUGGCUGUUCGCCAUUUAAAGUGGUACGCGAGCUGGGUUUAGAACGUCGUGAGACAGUUCGGUCCCUAUCUGCCGUGGGCGCUGGAGAACUGAGGGGGGCUGCUCCUAGUACGAGAGGACCGGAGUGGACGCAUCACUGGUGUUCGGGUUGUCAUGCCAAUGGCACUGCCCGGUAGCUAAAUGCGGAAGAGAUAAGUGCUGAAAGCAUCUAAGCACGAAACUUGCCCCGA
RNAcentral lists this ribosomal RNA (2192 nucleotides) under Salmonella enterica. RNAcentral's name for it is "partial 23S ribosomal RNA". It matches the Rfam family "Bacterial large subunit ribosomal RNA", at positions 711 to 2802 of the family's 2925-position model. Lineage: Bacteria; Pseudomonadati; Pseudomonadota; Gammaproteobacteria; Enterobacterales; Enterobacteriaceae. The record is from RNAcentral.